UACGUAGGGUGCAAGCGUUGUCCGGAAUUAUUGGGCGUAAAGGGCUCGUAGGCGGUUUGUCGCGUCGGGAGUGAAAUCCACUGGCUUAACUGGUGGCUUGCUUUCGAUACGGGUGGACUAGAGGUAUGCAGGGGAGAACGGAAUUCCUGGUGUAGCGGUGGAAAUGCGCAGAUAUCAGGAGGAACACCGAUGGCGAAGGCAGGUCUCUGGGCAUUAACUGACGCUGAGGAGCGAAAGCAUGGGGAGCGAACAGG
RNAcentral lists this ribosomal RNA (254 nucleotides) under uncultured bacterium. Its description in RNAcentral is "partial 16S ribosomal RNA". It matches the Rfam family "Bacterial small subunit ribosomal RNA", at positions 524 to 776 of the family's 1533-position model. The record is from RNAcentral.